UACGUAGGGUGCAAGCGUUAAUCGGAAUUACUGGGCGUAAAGCGUGCGUAGACGGUUACGUAAGUCGGGUGUGAAAGCCCCGGGCUCAACCUGGGAAUUGCAUUCGAGACUGCAUAGCUAGGGUGCGGAAGAGGGAAGCGGAAUUUCCGGUGUAGCGGUGAAAUGCGUAGAUAUCGGAAGGAACACCAGUGGCGAAAGCGGCUUCCUGGUCCAGCACCGACGUUCAGGCACGAAAGCGUGGGGAGCAAACAGG
Molecule: ribosomal RNA, 253 nt
Filed under: uncultured bacterium
Lineage: Bacteria
Description: partial 16S ribosomal RNA
Rfam family: Bacterial small subunit ribosomal RNA
Source: RNAcentral